This 497-nucleotide ribosomal RNA is filed under the name uncultured bacterium. RNAcentral describes it as "partial 16S ribosomal RNA". It matches the Rfam family "Bacterial small subunit ribosomal RNA", at positions 28 to 507 of the family's 1533-position model. The record is from RNAcentral.
GACGAACGCUGGCGGCGUGCCUAAUACAUGCAAGUUGAGCGCUGAAGGUUGGUACUUGUACCAACUGGAUGAGCAGCGAACGGGUGAGUAACGCGUGGGGAAUCUGCCUUUGAGCGGGGGACAACAUUUGGAAACGAAUGCUAAUACCGCAUAAAAACUUUAAACACAAGUUUUAAGUUUGAAAGAUGCAAUUGCAUCACUCAAAGAUGAUCCCGCGUUGUAUUAGCUAGUUGGUGAGGUAAAGGCUCACCAAGGCGAUGAUACAUAGCCGACCUGAGAGGGCGAUCGGCCACAUUGGGACGGAGACACGGCCCAAACUCCUACGGGAGGCAGCAGUAGGGAAUCUUCGGCAAUGGACGAAAGUCUGACCGAGCAACGCCGCGUGAGUGAAGAAGGUUUUCGGAUCGUAAAACUCUGUUGGUAGAGAAGAACGUUGGUGAGAGUGGAAAGCUCAUCAAGUGACGGUAACUACCCAGAAAGGGACGGCUAACUACGUG